GCAUUUCACCAAAUCACCCGGAAUGUGCCCGAUCUCAUCAGAUCUCGAAAGCUAAGCGGCCUAGAGCCUGGAUAGGGCUCGGAUGGGCGACCACCAUCAUGCAGAGCAGGUGCGGCU
This 117-nucleotide ribosomal RNA is filed under the name Petromyzon marinus (sea lamprey). Lineage: Eukaryota; Metazoa; Chordata; Hyperoartia; Petromyzontiformes; Petromyzontidae. The record is from RNAcentral.